AUUGAACGCUGGCGGCAGGCCUAACACAUGCAAGUCGAGCGGAUGAAGGGAGCUUGCUCCUGGAUUCAGCGGCGGACGGGUGAGUAAUGCCCAGGAAUCUGCCUGGUAGUGGGGGAUAACGUCCGGAAACGGGCGCUAAUACCGCAUACGUCCUGAGGGAGAAAGUGGGGGAUCUUCGGACCUCACGCUAUCAGAUGAGCCUAGGUCGGAUUAGCUAGUUGGUGGGGUAAAGGCCUACCAAGGCGACGAUCCGUAACUGGUCUGAGAGGAUGAUCAGUCACACUGGAACUGAGACACGGUCCAGACUCCUACGGGAGGCAGCAGUGGGGAAUAUUGGACAAUGGGCGAAAGCAUGAUCCAGCCAUGCCGCGUGUGUGAAGAAGGUCUUCGGAUUGUAAAGCACUUUAAGUUGGGAGGAAGGGCAGUAAGUUAAUACCUUGCUGUUUUGACGUUACCAACAGAAUAAGCACCGGCUAACUUCGUG
RNAcentral lists this ribosomal RNA (484 nucleotides) under uncultured bacterium. RNAcentral's name for it is "partial 16S ribosomal RNA". It matches the Rfam family "Bacterial small subunit ribosomal RNA", at positions 30 to 507 of the family's 1533-position model. The record is from RNAcentral.